This 936-nucleotide long non-coding RNA is filed under the name Sarcophilus harrisii (Tasmanian devil). RNAcentral's name for it is "lncRNA (ENSSHAG00000031945.1)". Lineage: Eukaryota; Metazoa; Chordata; Mammalia; Dasyuromorphia; Dasyuridae. The record is from RNAcentral.
GUAGCGACAACCCUUAAAAGUGUAGAUUUUUGCCAACAGCUAUUCUCUUAAAUAUGGGUUAGUUUAUUUUGCGGUUAGUGGUUAUGAUGAGGUUAAGGGAGGAAUGAGAAUACUGGGCUUUGUGCCUUUAAGAAGAGACCACGUGGCCUCUGAAUUCUCAGGCAGGUCUGCAGGCAGUAGUGUUGCCUCCUGAGAUAUUUAUUUAAAAAUUACAGUAGUGGGUUGAAGAUGGAUUUGGCUUUUGGUAGGAAGGGGGCUAAAUCCUUUGCAGGGGAGGAGACAUGGCUUUAUGGACAAAGCUGGGAGGCAGAAGUCCAGCACCAGAAAAAUCAAAACUUCCUUGUCUCAGGACCAAGUUAACCAAGGUUGAGCUUUUCAGUAUGGGAAGGGCCGAAGAUGACAUGGUUGCUACUCUGAUUUAGAUUGUUGAGAGAGCUAUCCAGUUUUAACGUGCAUGACUGCAAGGCAGAAGCUGUACUUGGUAUCAGAGAGAUUGAAGCUGUAGUCAAAUUCACUUUGUUCACCUGGAUUGGUUAGUGAUGGAAGCCAUGAUUUAAAAUCCUACCAACAGUGACUUAGUUUCUCUUUAUGAAAGAAGAUAGAUUUUUACCUCUCCAAGAAUACUGACGUUCUCCAGCAGAACUAAUAAGUACCAAAAAUGUUUGAAUCUUCUUGCACAAAACCUGAUAAAAUUCCUUAAUAUUUGCCCUUGUUAUCUCUGUAAAUUAACAGCCAAGUAAAAAUAAAUAGUAUUUGAAUAAAUGUUGAACAUUUUUCUGUAUUAUAUUUUUAAAUGGAACAAGUGUACCUAAAACUUACAUUUUAUAACCUGGAACUUGAUGAAUUCAUUACAAUAACAUUUGAGCAGAAGAAUGGAUAGAAUUAAAUUCCUGUAACUAUUUUGUUACUACCUAAUUUGAGUAUGGUGUUCCAAGG